AGCCCUGAGGUGUGCCACGUCAGACUGCAAAUCUGAAGAAGCAGGCUAACACCUGCCGGGGCUU
Molecule: transfer RNA, 64 nt
Filed under: Alfaro cultratus
Lineage: Eukaryota; Metazoa; Chordata; Actinopteri; Cyprinodontiformes; Poeciliidae
Description: tRNA-Cys
Source: RNAcentral